Molecule: ribosomal RNA, 520 nt
Filed under: uncultured Glomus
Lineage: Eukaryota; Fungi; Glomeromycota; Glomeromycetes; Glomerales; Glomeraceae
Description: SSU rRNA
Rfam family: Eukaryotic small subunit ribosomal RNA
Source: RNAcentral
AGCAGCCGCGGUAAUUCCAGCUCCAAUAGCGUAUAUUAAAGUUGUUGCAGUUAAAAAGCUCGUAGUUGAAUUUCGGGAUCAAUUCGUCGGUCGUGCCUCUGGUACGCACUGGUUUUAUUGGUUUCUCCCUUCUGACGAACCAUGAUGUCAUUAAUUUGGUGUCAUGGGGAAUCAGGACUGUUACUUUGAAAAAAUUAGAGUGUUUAAAGCAGGCUUACGCUUGAAUACAUUAGCAUGGAAUAAUGAAAUAGGACGCUUGACCCUAUUUUGUUGGUUUCUAGGAUCGACGUAAUGAUUAAUAGGGAUAGUUGGGGGCAUUAGUAUUCAAUUGUCAGAGGUGAAAUUCUUGGAUUAUUGAAGACUAACUACUGCGAAAGCAUUUGCCAAGGAUGUUUUCAUUAAUCAAGAACGAAAGUUAGGGGAUCGAAGACGAUCAGAUACCGUCGUAGUCUUAACCAUAAACUAUGCCGACUAGGGAUCGGAUGAUGUUAAUUUUUUAAUGACUCAUUCGGCGCCUUAC